RNAcentral lists this long non-coding RNA (398 nucleotides) under Fukomys damarensis (Damara mole-rat). Its description in RNAcentral is "lncRNA (ENSFDAG00000022348.1)". Lineage: Eukaryota; Metazoa; Chordata; Mammalia; Rodentia; Bathyergidae. The record is from RNAcentral.
GUUUUAAGAAUUGGAAGCAUGAAGAUGGUGGUUCCCAGGGUACGUCUUCAAGCCACCCCCAACUCAGAGCUUGUCUUUGGGGGGCAAUGACUCAGUUAUUUGUCACACCACCAAGGGGACAGCUCAGUGUUUCCAUCCUUCCCAGCUCAAAGGCCACCGUGUAGGCAGCAGGCACACAAAAGUUAGGACGACACUGAAAGUGGGCUCUGGAGAAAGCGAAGCCAUUAUGCAUUUUAUUGCCAUCUAAGAAAAGUGGAAAUGGACCUGGUAGUGUAGGAGAGGGGAGCGGUGGCUGCUGGGUCAAGACAGAGACACAGAGAUGGAAAGGAAAUCAGAAAUGGUGAGAUCUUUCUCCCUCCCCCCUCUGUAUGCACACAUACUCAUAAAACCGUAGCUCA